UGGUUAGAGCAGGGGGGGGCUGUGAGCCAGGACUCCUGGGUUCUCUCCCCGGCUCUGGGAGGGGAGUGGGGGCUGGUGGUUAGAGCGGGGGGCUGGGAGCCAGGACUCCUGGGUUCUCUCCCCGGCUCUGGGAGGGGAGUGGGGGCUGGUGGGUCAGAGCAGGGGGGCUGGGAGCCAGGACUCCUGGGUUCUCUCCCUGGCUCUGGGAGGGGAGUGGGGGCUAAUGGUUAGAGCAGGGUGGGCUGGGAGCCAGGACUCCUGGGUUCUCUCCCUGGUUCUGGGAGGGGAGUGGGGGCUGGUGGCCAGGACUCCUGGGUUCUCUCCCUGGUUCUGGGAGGGGAGUGGGGGCUGGUGGCCAGGACUCCUGGGUUCUCUCCCUGGUUCUGGGAGGGGAGUGGGGGCUGGUGGGUUAGAGCAGGGGGGGCUGGGAGCCAGGACUCCUGGGUUCUCUCCCCAGCUCUGGGAGGGGAGUGGGGGCUGGUGGUUAGAGCAGGGGGGGCUGGGAGCCAGGACUCCUUGGUUCUCUCCCCGGCUCUGGGAGGGGAGUGGGGGCUGGUGGGUUAGAGCAGGGGGGGCUGGGAGCCAGGACUCCUGGGUUCUCUCCCUGGCUCUGGGAGGGGAGUGGGGGCUAAUGGUUAGAGCAGGGUGGGCUGGGAGCCAGGACUCCUGGGUUCUCUCCCUGGUUCUGGGAGGGGAGUGGGGGCUGGUGGGAUAGAGCAGGGGGGCUGGGAGCCAGGACUCCUGGGUUCUCUCCCCGGCUCUGGGAGGGGAGUGGGGGCUGGUGGGAUAGAGCAGGGGGG
Long non-coding RNA from Gopherus flavomarginatus (Mexican gopher tortoise), 800 nucleotides. RefSeq lists it as uncharacterized. The record is from RefSeq and is a predicted model, not a curated record. The transcript has 3 exons. NCBI's taxonomy places the organism in Eukaryota, Metazoa, Chordata, Testudines, Testudinidae.